CCUGGCACAUUUAACACCGUGUUGUGAAAGCUAUGGUUUAUUUGUUUUCGCUGUUUUGGUUUCGUUUCUAUUACGUUUGUGGAUAUUGUCUUCGAUUACUUUCAUGAUGGUGAAGAUUAUUGUUGAUACAUUUGAUUUCGGGUGGAUUGGUACAAAUUCGAUUAAUUCGUUUGCGGUCUUCAUUUAUAAUUUUCGUUGGUUGGUUGGUUGAUAAUUGUGCUUAUUUCUUACUCAAGUUUGCGAUACGAAUUGGAUUUUGGUUUGCGAUCUUUGUUCAGAUCAAAUAAUCGCUGUUUGAUCAUGAUGCUGUUUCUGGUUCGUUUGCGAUAAAUUGGGCUUUUGCUUUGCGAUCUUGGUCUGCUUUCUUUCAGUAUUGAUAUUCCAUUCGAAAUUUCCUAAUAAUCAAAUACAAGAUUUUCCGGUUUUUUUAUUAUAUAUGUGAGGGAUUUUUCUUCUUUGGAUUUGACAGUGGUGAUUGUCGGAUUAUUAAAGCUGGUCUGUUUAAGUUGAACGGUGUCAGAUUCGUUGUGAAUGCAAUUUUCAUUCUUGACCUAGUUAUGCUUUCGUUGGUCUGUGAGUAAUAAGGGUAUAUUCCAGGAAUUCAGCACAUGAUAUUGGUAUGACAAAAUACUUAAAUUUGGACUCUUUUAUUUGUCUGCUGUUCACAUCUCUAUAUCAAAUGCCGGCAUAAAAAUAGUCUUGAACUGUUUGCAGAUGGAUUCAUCAAGAAGAGAACUAUUUAUUGAUCUCUUAUACUAAAGCUGUUUUCAAACCUUAUCAUAAUAAGUUGCAAAUUUUUGAUUUGGUAUGGCGGAGAAAAAUGAAACUGAAAUAAUUGAAGUUUUCCUAUUUGGAAUUGUCUUAGGGCUAAUUUUUAUUCGUAACCGCAUAUUUACAAUACAGACGUGGUGAUCAAUUGGACCUUUGAUUAAUUAACAUCUCUUUGUGUUGAUUGACCUCCUAUUCUGCAGGUCUGUUUUCUUUUUUUCUUUUUUCAUUUUUUUUUUUUUUUUGGGUAACUGGUUAGUUUGAUGAUUCGAAUAGAAGUUGUUCUAGGCAUUGGAAUCCAAUAUUAGUCUCUGGAUUGGUCUGACCGUUUGCAAAACCAGUGUGACACAUAUUAUCUUUUCUUUUCGUUUUUUCAAUUAUUAUUAUUAGUAUUAUUAUUAUUAUAUUUUUUUACACUUUGAAUCUUUUAUUACGUUAGUUUGAACACGAAUACAAAGCUUUUGUGUGGUUGGGUCGGCUGUUGCAGCUUUUUUUUUUUUUUUUUUUUUUUUUCUAUUUUUUUGAGUAAGUUUAUACUUUGAAAAUAUCUUGUACCGUGGUAUUUUAAUUAAUUUGUUGAAAACGGUCCAUUCAAGUGCUUUUAAUGGAGUCAGGUGCCUUUUAAUGGAGAAUUUGGUAUUCUUGAGCAUGUUUGCCUUCUGGUUUCUUAUUAUGAAUAUGCAUGACAUCUAAUAUUAUCUUUAAAAGUUAGACUUGGUGAUAUUUGAUUCCGUGAUCACAGGGCUGCGGAGAUUGUUUUGUCUAUCAGAUUUUUAUUUUGAGCAGUUUUGCAAUCAUUUUCCAUUUUACCUUUAAGGGAGAUUCUAAAUUUCCAUUUUUUGGUGGUUGGGAUUUUACCUUUCUUAGAGUUUGGAGGGUGUGUCGAUUUUGCGAAAAGCUGCUAGAUGUCUCUUGCAAUGAAAGUUGACUAUGCUUCUGCUUGAAUUUUCUUAUUGUUUUUCUAAAUUUUAUAAGCUAACAUUGUUUGGUGAUGCUCUGCAGAUUUGUGGUCCAUAGUUUUAUUGAAGUUUUAGGUUUGGGUAUAUUUUGGUAUUAAGCUUCUCUUUACCCUUCAAACCAAUAGCAUUAUGUUAUCGUUUUCUUAUUCUUGAAACUCUUUUGUCUAAGAUUUUCACUUCCUGAAGACGUCCUUUUUCAUUAUGAAUAAGAAGUAAUUUUUUACUAAUGGUUAAGUUGAUUUCUUGUUCAGGAUUCUUCUUUUAUCCAUGUUUUAUGAACUGGCCCUCCUCCUAUAUAUAAAAUAAAAGAGCAGAAGAAAAAUAGCAAACCCUCUUUCAUUUGUAAAUAUGUAUGCAUGGUUGUGUGCAUUUUACUUAUUGUUUUUGAACAAUUUCUUUCAGGUCACUUUUGUCCAUUGUAGAGUUUGGUGCUUCCUUAUAUGAGAUAAGUUUGGCCUAUAUCAUGUGUUUCUAGUGGCCAAUUGUUUCAUUUAUGUUCUCUUUUUUAGUAGAUAUUAUGGAUAUCAUUUUAUAUUCCGUUAUUUUAUUAUUAUUAUUAUUAUUAUUUUUUUUUUUGGGGUUUAUAUUUAUCAACAUUGAUGGUAGAUUUUGAUUUUCAGGUCUUGUUUUCGAGUUUUUUAUGAUGUUGGAGCAUAUGAUGCAACUCAAUUAUUGUUUCUCUGUCUUGCUUUAACUUUUUAGGUUUUGAUUUUAACAAAUUACAAUAAUAUGCUAUACCGACAAUAAUAUUUUCUUGUACUGUAUUUUUCUUUUUAGAUAGUAUGGUAGCUUUGUUCUGCCUCUGCCUGUGGCCAUACCAACUAUAUUCAUGGAGAGUGUGUCUUCUUGUUAAAGUGGAGAUUGCUAGAGGACAUUUGUCAACAAGGUUAAUUUAUUCAGCCUUGAUUUAUGUGGCUAUUUGUUGAAGUUCUUUAUCUACAAGCAAUAUUUUAAUUACAAAAGUGUUAAUCUUUCCAUGGUUAAAAGUAUUGGAAAUAAAGAUGAGUUCGAGAGGUUUAUGUUCCACUUAGGUACCGUAGUUUCAAUUAGAGUUGCAGUUUGGGAAAUUGGACUAGAUGCUGAAAGGGCUUUUAUUUUGGUGGUUUGUUUUUCUCAUCAAUACUUCUUCAUUCUGCAGUUCCAGUAAUUGGAAAGCUUCAGGAUUUCAUAAUGAUUUGUGCAGUUUCAGAUGAAAUUUUGUUAUUUCUUCCUUCAAUGUGUUGAAAAUUGUUUGGUAGAUUGGAAUCCUUGUGAAGAUAUUAAAAAAAAAAAAAGGCUCCUUUCAUUUCCUUUCCUACACAUGAAGUGUAAAACAUAGCUUUUCCUUUUUUCUUUUUACAUUUGUUAUCUUUAUUUACUGUUCUCUUCUUGAUUUGAUGAUCUACUCAAGUUGCAGCUACUUUUGAUCAAAUUUAAUUUGGAUUUUCUCUGUACAGAGUGGAAUGAUUUCACUCCAUGCGAGUUAGUAGUGGAUUUGGGUAUCUUUCUUCAUGCUGUUUGUACUAUGGAUAUGUGAUAUGUGUUAAUACUUCUUUUACCUCAAUGCAGUUUUCUGGAGAUGGUACGUGAUAUUUUGAAUAUUGAAUGGACGUAUAUAAUGGUUGCUGAGAUGCAUCAAUUUGGUUGUUUUAUUAUUGGGGCUAGUUCUAUCAGUUUUGGAGAGAGUAUGUGAUGCAUUCAAAGUCAGUAUCAGUUCUGUAUGUGGAGUAUUCUUUGUGGACUAAUGCUAUUAUAUUGUUAUUUGUAAUUGCUUAUGGUAUUGUGACAUAGGUUACAUUGUUGACUGAAAAGGUAUCCUGGUGGAGAAGUUUGACUUGUACGAUGGGGAAUCUAUUGGAUCUUUUUAAUCAUGUUUGCUAUUUAUUGAAGGUUCACUAGAGUGUUGGAAACAGAGUAUGUUUGUUGUUUCAAGUUUUACAUCUUGGAAUUCUUAGUCUGCUUAAAUGUCUUCCACUUAGAAGUGUUUUUAAAUGUUUGCAAGUGGCAGUAACUUGUCCCUGAUGACCCUUUCUUGAUGAUGAUGGUGAUAUUCCAGUGGUGUUGCUUGAUAUGUGGUAAAACAUUUUUGAUCUUGCUUUGCGUAUAACUAUGAAUUUGAUGAGUGGACUUGAAUGCAAGUAAUUAAAAAGGUUCUUGGUUCUCUGUGUUUGAGAGAAUUUUUUUUUGCAGGUGUAAUUAUCGAAGUGUGAAGUAUCUUUGCGGUUUGGUUCUCUUGGUUUCUUUUAAUUUGUUGAUGCAUUUAGACUGAUAUCUAUUGUAAAAUUCAAGCUGUUAGUAAUAUGAUGGUCUGCCAUUGUAUUUUAUAUCACUGAAAGCAACCUGGUAUUUAAAAAAAAAUUUCUUAAAUUUUUGCAAUGGCUUGCCAACAAUUGCACCUUGUUUUGGGAUAGGAGUAACCUAUCUAAUUUCACAGUGGCGAUAUUGAAAUGGUCUUAAUUUAUUUAUGGUAAUCCUUUCCCUCUUGAAUUUUCUGACUUAAUGUCUGGUUAUUAUAAAUUAUAAGUUAUGUUUGUAUUAUAGGUUGGUAUUCGUUGAACUUGGAGGAUGCUCGUAGAAAAAGUUUUAAAUCAUAUUUUAAUAAUAUAAAUUUUGGUUUCCUCUAAAUUUUAUCCUAUGAAUGCUUGUGUACUGCAGUGACAUCCAUUUCCAGUUGCAAUUUUAGGGGUUGGAUUUACUUUUUUGCGCUGAUUUACAGAGGAGAUAUGUUGUAAAAUACAUUGUGACGCGGACAUUGGUCGAACAAAGAUUUUGGUAUCAGUUGAUGUAGUUCAUGGUUCUGUGCUCCACUCUAUGUGCUCAAAUCCUAAAUUCUUGUGACUAUUCUGUAAUUUGUAAUGUUAUCAGUUGAAAGUGAGGUUCAUGGUUUAGCGUAAGUGCCUGUUUCGACUUUUAAGUUUUGCUGAUCGAUUUUCAACAAUUCAACUUAAGUAUCAAUUGUAAUGAUUUUUGUCUCAGAUCUACCCUGCCUCGAGUUAGUAAUUAUAUUUUUAAUUGGAUAAGUUCAUAUUUAUUUCCGUCAACUUCAAUUUGUUUAAAGUAUGCGUAUGUCGAGCAUCUUCCCCGGUUGCAUUGUGUUUUGAGUGGGGUUUGUUUUGCCUCAACAGUUAUGGGAUGAAGAUAUGUAGAAGAUUGCAAUGGUGGAUUGGAUGUUCAUCAAGAUGGCCUUGGAUACAUAUUAUUCAUUGAUCUAUAAUGGGGGAUAUGUUGGUACGAAAUGUGAUAGUACAAUGGUGUUGCAGCUUAACUAUUAAUGUAUUUCCAGAUGUGUCAUUUUUUCAGGUGAUACGGCUGAUUUGAGGGGGUAAUUAAGUAAAGUUUGUUGAUGGUAGCUUGUAUAGUUUCCCCAUGUGUGAAGGGCGUUUUAUUGUCGAUGCUCCACUAUCAUUAAAGGAAGAUAGAUGAAAUUGGUGGAUGCUAAUAAAAGGAACGCUCAGAUUUUUGUUAGCUAUGAUCUUUAGUUUCUUUGAAGUUCUCAUUGGUAAAGUUUCAUCUGUCUUUCUAGUAGAGUUCUAUAUCUGUUUUGCAGUGAUGUCCUCAUCGGUUGCAAUGCAAUUUUGAGUUGUUCUUGUAUUCCCUUGAGGUAGUUGUAGGAGAAGAUUUGUGGUACUUUCCUGUGCAGCAGGAUGAAUGUUCAACAUGAUUGGCUGAGCCCGCAUGAUGUUCAGUGACAAAAUGCUUUUGGUGAUAGGAUGAUUUUCAUGGGUUCCCCAUGUGUGAAGGGUGUUUGAUUGUCCGUGCUCCACAAUCAUUGAAGCAUGAUAAGAGGAAAUUGGUGGAUGCUAAUAAUGGCAGGCUUGGAUUAUUGUUAGCUAUGCUUUUCGUUUCCUUGAAGUUCUCAUUAAUAAAGUUUUGUCUUGCUAGUAAAGUUCUACCUAUUUUCAGGUGAUAAGGAUGAUUUUCAGGUGGUAAUUAAGUAAAUUUUGUUGAUGGUAGCUUGUAUAGUGUGUUUAGUAUUUGUUGACCUGGCUUAAUUGUAUAAGCUUUGUCAACAGUUUUAGUUCCUUGAAUUUGAGAAAGUUGUUACUUGACUGCAGUUCCCCAUGUGUGAAGGGCGUUUUAUUAUCGGUGCUAAGUUCUCAUUAGUAAAGUUUCAUCUGUCUUUCUAGUAGAGUUCUAUAUCUGUUUUGCAGUGAUUUCCUCAUCAGUUGCAAUGCAAUUUUGAGUUGUUCGUGUUUCCUUUCUGGUGAUAAGGAUGAUUUUCAGGGUUCCCCAUGUGCGAAGGGCGUUUGAGUGUGAGUGCUCCACUAUCAUUGAAGCAAGAUAGAGGAAAUUGGUGGAUGCUAAUAAGGCAGGCUUGGAUUAUUGUCAGCUAUGAUUUUUCGUUUCCUUGAAGUUGUCAUUAAUAAAGUUUUAUGUCUUGCUAGUAAAGUUCUAUCAAUUUUGCAGUGAUGUCCUUAUCAGUUGCAAUGUCAUUUGAGUUCGUCUUGUAUUGUAUUGAGGUAGUUGUAGUAGAAGAUAUGUGGUACUUUCCUUUGCAGCAGGGCGAAUGCUCAACAUGAGUGGCUGAGUUGCAUGAUGUUCAAUGGCAAAAUGACCUUCGGUGAUAAGGACGAUUUUGGGGAGUGCUCUGCUAUCAUUGAGGCAAGGUAGAAGAAAUUGGUGGAUGCUAAUAAAGGCAGGCUUGGAUUUUUGUCAGCUAUGAUUUUUAGUUUACUGGAAGUUCUCAUUGUUCUCCAUGUGUGAUGGGCAUUUGAUUGUCAGUGCUCCACUAUCAUUGAAGCAAGACAGAGGAUAUUGGUGGAUGCUAAUAAAGGCAGGCUAGGAUUGUUGUGAGCUAUGACUUUUAGUUUCUAUGAAGUUCUCAUUGGUAAAGUUUUGUCUUUCUUGCUAGUAAAGUUAUGUCUGUUUUGUGGUGAUGUCCUUAUCACUUGUAGAGUUUGUCGGUAACUUGUGGAGUUUGUUUAGUGAUUGUUGACUUGGCUUAAUUGUGUAAGCUUUAUCAACAAUUUUAGUUCCCCGAAUUUGAGAAAGUUGUUGCUUGAGUGCAAUUCCCCAUGUGUGAUGGGAAUUUGAUUGUCAGUGCUCCACUAUCAUUGAAGCAAGAUAGAGGAUAUUGGUUGAUGCUAAUAAAUGCAGGCUUGGAUUAUUGUCAGCUAUGAUUUUUUGUUUCCUUGAAGUUUUCAUUAAUAAAGUUUUAUGGCUUGCUAGUAAAGUUCUAUCUGUUUUGCAGUGAUGUCCUUAUCAGUCGCAAUGUCAUUUGAGUUGGUCUUGUAUUGUCUUGAGGUAGUUGGAGGAGAAGAUAUGUGGUACUUUCCUUUGCAGCAGGGUGAAUGCUCAACAUGAUUGGCCGAGUUGCAGGAUGCUUAAUGACAAAAUGACCUUCGGUGAUAGGGGGGUUAGUUAAGUACAUUUAGUUGUUGGUAACUUUUAGAGUUUGUUUAGUACUUGUUAACUUGGCUUAAUUGUAUAAGCCUUGUUUACCUGAAUUUGAUAAAGUUGUUGCUUGAUGGAAUUCCGCAUGCUUGAAGGGUGUCUGAUUGUCAGUGCUCCAUAUCAUUGAAGCAAGGUGGUGGAUGCUAAUAAAAGCAGGCUUGGAUUUUUGUCAGCUAUGAUUUUUAGUUUCCUUGAAGUUCUCAUUAGUAAAGUUUUAUCUGUCUUGCUAGUAAAGAUCUAUCUGUUUCACGCUGAUGUCCUGGUGGAGUUCGUUGGUAACGUAGAGUUUGUUUAGUACUUGUUGACUUGGCUUUAAUGUAUAAGCUAUAUCAACAAUUUUAGUUCCCUGAAUUUGAGAAAGUUGUUGCUUGAGUGCAGUUCCCCAUGUGUGAAGGGCAUUUGAUGGUCAGUGCUCCACCAUCAUUGAAGCAUGAUAGAGGAAAUUGGUGGAUGCUAAUAAAGGGAGGCUUGGUUUAUUGUCAGCUAUGAAUUUUCGUUUUGUUGAAGUUCUCAUUAGUAAAGUUUGAUCUGUCUUUGCUAGUAAAGUUCUACCUAUUUUGCAGUGAUUGUCUUGGGGUAGAAGAUAUGUUGUACUUUCCUAUGCAGCAGGGUGAAUGCUCAACAUGAUUGGCUGGUUGUGUAAUGUUGAAUGGCAAAGUGACUUUCUGGUGAUGAGGAUGUUUUUCAGGUGUAAUUAAGUAAAUUUUAUUGUUGGCGACUUGUAGAGCUUGUUUAGUAUUUGUUGGCUUGGCUUAAUUGUAGUUCCCUGAAUUUGAAAAGUUGUUGCUUGAGUGCAGAUCCCCAUGUGUGAAGGGCAUUUGAUUGUCAGUGCUCCACUAUCAUUGAAGCAAGGUAGAAUUUGGUGGAUGCGAAAGGCAGGCUUGGAUUUUUGUCAGCUAUGAUUUUUAGUUUCCUUGAAGUUCUCAUUAGUAAAGUUAUAUCUGUCUUGCUAGUAAAGAUCUAUCUGUUUUGCGGUGAUGUUCUUAUCACAUGUAGAGUUCGUUGGUAACGUAGAGUUUGUUUAGUACUUGUUGACUUGGCUUUAUUGUAUAAGCUUUAUCAACAAUUUUAGUUCCCUGAAUUUGAAGUUGUUGCUUGAGUGCAGUUCCCCAUGUGUGAAGGGCACUUGAUUCCCAUCAUUGAAGCAUGAUAGAGGAAAUUGGUGGAUGCUAAUAAAGGGAGGCUUGGUUAAUUGUCAGCUAUUAAUUUUCGUUUCCUUGGAAGUUCUCAUUAGUAAAGUUUGAUCUUUGCUAGUAAAGUUCUACCUAUUUUGCAGUGAUUGUCUUGAGGUAGUUGUAGGAGAAGAUAUGUGGUACUUUCCUAUGCAGCAGGGUGGAUGCUCAACGUGAUAUGUUGAAAGACAAAAUGACUUUUUGGUGAUAAGGAUGAUUUUCAGGGUUCCCCAUGUGUGAAGGGCGUUUGAUUGUCGGUGCUCCACUAUUAUUGAAGCAAGAUAGAGGAAAUUGUUGGAUGCAAACAAGGCAGGCUUGGAUUAUUGUCUGCUAUGAUUUUUCGUUUCCUUGAAGUUCUAAUUAAUAGUCUUUUUUCUUGCUAGUGAAGUUCUAUCUUUUUUGCAGUGAUGUCCUUAUCAGUUGCAAUGUCAUUUGAGUUGGUCUUGUAUUGUCUUGAGGUAGUUGUAGGAGAAGAUAUGUGGUACUUUCCUCUGCAGCAUGGUGAAUGGUCAACAGGCUGAGUUGCAUGAUGUUCAAUGACAAAAUGACCACCGGUGAUAUGGACAAUUUUUGGGGGUAAUUAAGUAAAUUUAGUUGUUGGUGACUUUUUAGAGUUUGUUUAGUAUUUGUUGACUUGGCUUAAUUGUGUAAGCUUUGUUUAACUGAAUUUGAUAAAGUUGUUGCUUGAUGCAAUUCCCCAUGCUUGAAGGGCGUCUGAUUGUCAGUGCUCCAUAUCAUUGAAGCAAGGUGGUGGAUGCUAAUAAAAGCAGGCUUGGAUUUUUGUCAGCUAUGAUUUUUAGUUUCCUUGAAGUUCUCAUUAGUAAAGUUUUCUGUCUUGCUAGUAAAGAUCUAUCUGUUUCACGCUGAUGUCCUGGUGGAGGUCUUUGGUAACGUAGAGUUUGUUUAGUACUUGUUGACUUGGCUUUAAUGUAUAAGCUAUAUCAACAAUUUUAGUUCCCUGAAUUUGAGAAAGUUGUUGCUUGAGUGCAGUUCCCCAUGUGUGAAGGGCACUUGAUUCCCAUCAUUGAAGCAUGAUAGAGGAAAUUGGUGGAUGCUAAUAAAGGGAGGCUUGGUUAAUUGUCAGCUAUUAAUUUUCGUUUCCUUGGAAGUUCUUAUUAGUAAAGUUUGAUCUUUGUUUAGUACUUGUUAACUUGGCUUAAUUGAAUAAGCCUUGUUUACCUGAAUUUGAUAAAGUUGUUGCUUGAUGGAAUUCCCCAUGCUUGAAGGGCGUCUGAUUGUCAGUGCUGAUUGUCAGUUCUCCACUAUCAUUGAAGUGAGAUAGAGAAUUGGUGGAUGCUAAUAAAGGCAGGCUAGGAUUAUUGUCAGCUAUGAUUUUUAGUUUCCUUGGAAGUUCUCAUUGUUCCCCAUGUGGGAAGGGCAUUUGAUUCUCCACCAUCAUUGAAGCAGGAUAGAGGAAAUUUGUGGAUGCUAAUAAAGGCAGGCUUGGAUUAUUGUCAGCUAUGAUUCUUCGUUUCCUUGGAAGUUUUCAUUAAUGAAGUUUUAUGGCUUGCUCGCAAAGUUCUAUCUGUUUUGCUGUGAUGUCCUUAUCAGUUGCAAUGUCAUUUGAGUUGGUCUUGUAUUGUCUUGAGGUAGUUGUAGGAGAAGAUAUGUGGUACGUUCCUUUGCAGCAGGGUGAAUGCUCAACAUGAUUGGCGGAAUUGCAUGAUGUUCAAUGACAAAAUGACCUUUGGUGAUAAGGACGAUUUUCCAGGGGUAAUUAAGUAGAUUUAGUUGGUAACUUUUAGUUUGUUUAGUAUUUGUUGACUUGGCUUAAUUGUAUAAGCUUUGUUUACCUGAAAUUGAUAAAGUUGUUGCUUGACGCAAUUCCCCAUGUUUGAAGGGCAUUUGAUUGUCAGUGCUCCGCUGUCAUUGAAGCAAGGUAGAAGAAAUUGGUGGAUGCUAAUAAAGGCAGGCUUGGAUUUUUGUCAGCUAUGAUUUGUAGUUUCCUUGAAGUUCUCAUUAGUAAAAGUUUUAUCUGUCUUGCUAGUAAAGUUCUAUCGGUUUUGUGGUGAUGUCCUUAUCACCUGUAGAGUUCCUUGGUAACGUGGAGUUUGUUUAGUACUUGUUUACUUGGCUUUAUUGUAUAAGCUUUGUCAACAAUUUUAGUUUCCUGAAUUUGAGAAAGUUGUUGCUUGAGUGCAGUUCCCCAUGUAUGAAGGGCAUUUGCUCCACCAUCAUUGAAGCAUGAUAGAGGAAAUUGGUGGAUGCUAAUAAAGGGGGGCUUGGUUUAUUGUCAGCUAUGAAUUUUCGUUUCCUUGAAGUUUUCAUUAGUAAAGUUUGAUCUGUCUUUGCUAGUAAAGUUCUGCCUAUUGUGCAGUGAUUGUCUUGAGGUAGUUGUAGGAGAAGCUAUGUGGUACUUUCCUAUGCAGCAGGGUGAAUGCUCAACAUGAUUGGCUGGUUACAGUGUUGAAUGACAAAAUGACUUUUUGCUGUCCCCCAUGUGUGAAGGGUGUUUGAUCGUCAGUGCUCCAUUAUCAUUAAAGCAAGAUGGGAGGAAAUUGGUGGAUUCUAAUAAAGGCAGGCUUGGCUUAUUUUCAGCUGUGAUUUUUGAUUCCUUGGAAGUUCUCAUUGGUGAAGUUUUGUCUGCCUUGCUAGUAAAGGUCUAUCUGUUUUGCAUUGAUUUCCUUAUUAGUUGCGAUGUAAUUUGAGUUUGUCUUGCAUUGUCUUGGGGUAGUUGUAGGAGAAGAUAUGUGGUACUUUCCUAUGCAGCAGGGCGAAUGCUCAACAUGAUUGGCUGAGUUGCAUCAUUUUUAAUGACUUAUUAUAUUAUUGGUAUCAGUUCUAUACUUCAAAUUAUUUUCGCUAUAUUUGUGCUGAUAUCUUUGAGGUCUUAUUCUGCUUGUUACAUUAUUCUCUGUUGGACGUAUGUGGAGUUUAGUUGCUCUCUGUGUUUGUGUUUGUUUUUGUUUUUGUUUUAAUCUUCAGGUAUCGAGUGGUACGUGGGAAGAUUCUCUUGCUAGCGGUUCUGAUAGCUGCUGAUAAAUUAGGAAAAUGCUGCUCAAUGCAGUUCCAUUUGCAGGCUGAACGGUUUUGGUGAUAAGAGGCUUGUCACUCUUCUUGUUUAUUUCAAAUCGUUUAGCUGUUACAACUUGCUGAAUUGGAGUUGCUUCUGUGAUCAAAUUUAAUUUGGGUUUUGCUCUGUGACUACAGUGAAAUGAUUUCUAUCCAUGUGAGGUAGAAUUUGAUUAUGGUAUAUUUCUUUAUGCUGUUUGUAUUUUUUGGAAUCUAAUUAAUUUAGUGAAUGAUUUAAAAUUAAAGGUUUUCUGCCUCAAUACUGUUUUUCAGGGAGUUGGAUUUCCAUCAAAUUCUGUUGGGAUAUAUGCCAUCUGUUGAUUUAUUAUUGGGCUUAUUGGUAUUAGUUCUGUAUUUGGAAUAGUGUUCACAGUGUUCAUGUUGCAUUAAUUUAUAAUUUUUUUGUGGUAUGGUAAAAUAGGUUGCAGGUGGAAUGUUGUGGCAUAUUGGUGUUUUUAGGUGGAGAAAUUGUAGUUAGACAUGCACCUUGAGGAAUCUGUUGGAUCGUUUUAAUCAUAUUUGCUAUUUAUUGAAGGUUUGCAUUAUUGGAUUUGAGGGAUGUAUUUAUGUUUUGGGUUUUACUUUCUUGAAUUCUUUAAUGUCUUCCACUAAAGUGACUUCAAAUGAUUUCUAGUGGUUUCCACUUUAGUAUUGAUUUCAGUAACACUUGCAUCUAAUAGACCCUUUCUUGAUUCAAUGAUUAUGUUCAAAUGACAUUAUUUAAUAUGUGGUGAAACCUUGUUCUUGUGCUUAAAUAGGUUGCUAUAGCUACAAAUUUGACAAAUGGACUUGUAUGCACUUCAACAUAGUUAGUUCUCGCUUUUUGAGAUAGAAGAUAAUGACAUCUAGUUACUAAGGUGUGUAGGAUUUCUAGAUUCAUGGUUUAUUCCUCUUCUUGGUUUCCUUGAAGGAUCUAGGUGCAUCUCUUUUGAUAUCUUUGAUUUUUGAAGUGUUUAGUAAUACAAAUGUCUGUUAUUGCUUUAUAAUACAUCACUGAAAGCAAGUUGAUAUCUAAUUUCUAAUUAUUUGUGAUGGUUUGACAGCAAUUGCAACUAGUUUUUGAUUGGGAGUUACCUAUCAAUUUCACUUCUCUGAUCUAUGGCUGUGAUUAGAUCUGUGGCUGUGAUGAAAUGCUUUUAACUGAUGUAUGGUAAUUUACGCCCUCUGGUUUAGGUUAUUUCUUUUUGCUAGAAUUUUAACUGUUGAUUCGUGGCUAUUCCAAGGCGGUUGUGACAUAUGGUUUUCUUGCUUCAAAAAUUUAUUAUCUGAGCACGUUCUGUAUUGCAGUGUUAUCUGUUCCCAAUUGCAAUAUUUCUCUGCCACGGAAGUCCAACGUUGGAUGAAUGUUUGUUGAGAUUGAAAUAGAGUACAUUGUACAAAGAUCUCGUUAUCAGUUCCAUAUUUGGAAUGGAAUGGUAUUCAUGGUAGCUGUGCUCGUAGCUAUGGACUAAAUAAUUUUUUGUGACUAUUCUGUUAUCUAUGAUAAUGAUGCUGAUGACCAUUGAUUCUGAUGAUUCAUCUUUUCAGAUCUGCUCUCCUCUGAUUGAUCUCAUUGGAUAAUUCAUACUUUUCUCCUUGAAUUUCUUGUAAUUAUACUAUUGUUUCAAGCGUCCUCACUGGUUAUAUUGAGAUUCAGUCUCAGAUCUGUCCUGCCUUUGAUCAAUGAUGAUGCUCACAGGAUAAGUUGUAUUUUUCUGCUUUCAUGUUUUUUGUUAGUACACUAUUUUUCUGCUCCUAUCUACACACACACUAAAAUAUUAAUUUUCUAAUUUCAUGUGAUUACUUUAUUUAUCUAUGAGAACAAUGUUGAUGACGUUUGAAUCGAUUGGUUGUCUCCUGAUCUGACUUGCCUCUGACUUCGGAUUUUGUCAAUUGGUCGUCUCCCAAUCUGAUAUGCCUCUAGUCAACAAUGAUGCUUUUCCUUCUAUACGUUCUAUUGAAGCGUGUUCAAAUUUUCUCUAUUGAUGUGUGUCUAUUCCAUGAAGGUGUAUUGACUUAUUUUUAUGUAUUUUAGGUUGGCUCUUUGGUGUCUGAUGAACUUGGUGGGUGCUCAUAAAGGAGGAUUUGAUUUAAUUACUAUGAUUUUUUAGUCGCUUCAAAAAGUUCUUAUCUGAAUGCUUACGUAUAGCAUCUGUUUCCAGUUGUAAUGUUCUAAGUUGGAUUUUCUGCCUGAUCUCCUCCAGAAAUGAUGUAAAAUCCAAUGUUCGAUGAAAGUUGUCAAGAUCGACACUGAAGAGGUUGUAGAAAGAUCUCAGUAUCAGUUAUCUUUUUGGGAUGGUAUUCAUGCGUCUAUCUAUGCUAUAUCUAAAUUUCUAAUUUCUUGUGAUUGUGAUGAUUGAUUGUCUCAAUUCUGGCAAACCUCUAAUUGCUUUUCAUUGGAUAAUUCAUAUUUCUGCUUUCUUGAAUUUUUUUGUUACUCCACUAUUAUAUUUCGAGCAUUCUUACCAGUUGCAUUGUGAUUCUAGAAUUUUCUCUGUUGCUACAAUGCUAUUUCAAAUUCUUAUGGCAUAUGUUUAUGGAUUUUAGGCUGCUUUUUGGUAUCUGAUGAAUUUGGUGGAUGCUCAUAAAGAAGGGCUUGAAUUAAAUUUUUGCCAUGAUUUUUUUGUUCCAUCAAAAAAUUUUCUUAUCUGAAAGCUUUAUAGCAGUGACAUCUGUUUUCAGUUGCAAUGUUGUAAGUUUUUCUGCCUUUAUCUAGGGAGGGAGAUAUGUGGUAAUGUCCAGUGGAGGAUGAAUGUUUGCUGAUUAAGGCAAAAAUGGGUUGUACAAAAGUGUCUCUAUUUUGAUUGGUGUUCAUGAUAUAUGUGGUUCUAUCUUAUGCACUAAAAUUCAAAUUUCUCGCAAUUAUUCCAUUAUCUUUUAGAAUGAUGCUGAUGACUCUGUGUUGAGGUGUUUCGUUGACUCAGAUAUGAUCUGCUUCUGCCCUGCCUCUAGUUGAUAAAUGAUGCUUUUCAUUGGAUAAAUCUUAUUUUCUGCUUUCUUUAUUUUUUGUUUGUUAGCACACUAUUAUGUCAAGUGUCCCUAUCAGUUGCAUUGUGCUUUUGGUAAUGUUUGUUUUGCCUUGAACAAUUAUGGGAUGAGGAUAUGUGGACAAUUCCAGUUUUGGUUGAAUUUGAAAAAUUUCUUGCUUGGACUGCAGUUUCUAAAGUGUGAAGGGCAUUUGACUUUCGGUUAUUGCACUUAUGGGUUUCUUUUUAGGAGCUGUGCAAAUAUUCUGUCAUCUUUGUUUAAGUUGUAAUAUCUGUUUCAUCGGCUAUCAUUGAAAGCGAGGUAGACAAAGUUGGUGGAUGCUCAUAAAGGUUGCUUUGAUUAUUCAACCCUGACAUUUUCAUUUGUUUGAAAUUCUUAUAUGUACACACACAUGACUUACCAAGAUGUUUAUAUUAGGUGCAAUGUGGUUUGAAGUGGUCCAAUACAGGAUGAACAAUCACCUUGACAUGCUCAGUUGCAUGUUGUUCAAUUACUUAUGAGGAUAUUGGAAUCAGUUCUAUAUUUAGAAUGGUGUUCGUGGUAUUUGCCCUAAUACAUAGUGUAACAUUCUGAUUGCUUGUUACACUAUUCUAUAGGUUGCACUAUUGUCCCAUAAAGUGAUGUUUGUUGAAGUUUAUUAUCUUUAUAAGUGGAGUGUAUAUUUGUGGAAGAUUCUGAUUGCUUGUUAUGCUGUUCUAUAGGGUUGCAGUUGCACUAUUGUCCCAGAAAGUGAUGUCUGGGAGUUUUAUUGUCUUUAUAAAUGGAGAUAGAUGCUCUUUUAUAUCAUAUGCUACUGAUUGAAGGUUCACAGCACAUAACUUACAGAUGGAGUACUUCUUGUAGGUUUCCAGUGCAGUGAUUUAUUGCCUUUCGUGAUGUGCUUUUAUUCUGAUAAGUCAAUCCAAUUGUUUACUUAUUCAAUUUCAAUGAGUGAAUUUUCAACAUUUCUUUUUUCUUUCUGGUAAUAUGCACAGCAAACAUUAUUCGUACUAAAUUGUGUUUGCGAAAGCAAUUUCCAUGGGGGUUGAAAUGUCUUUUUGGUAAAAAAUUAUUCUCUUACAUCAUAUUUGCUAUUGAUGAAAGGUUCAUUACAAUCUUUUCGGUAAAAAUUCUUCUUACAUCAUAUUUGCUAUUAAUGAAGCAAUCAUUGCAUACAUAUGUUUUUGAGAAACUUCUUGAUAUCCUUUUCUUGCUUAUAGUCCUUUUUACCUUUUCUGUGUUGCUGAUUAAUUGUCAGCUAUUGGAAAUAAAAAACUAGUAGUCGGUUAGCUGAUGGUUUAGAUGGUUUCUGCAGGAUAUUUUAAAAUCUUGUUUUGGUGCUUGGACUGCAGUUCUCUAAUAUGGAGGAUAUUUGGUUUAGUGGUUUGUUGCUCUUCCUGGUUUCUUUUUACAAACCGUGUGAAUCGCUUAUCAUUAUUUAAUGUCUAGUAUUAUGAAGGUUUGUUGUCUUACCAUUAUUCUAAGCAAUGCCUCGAGUCAAUGCAGUAACUUGGUUUGCAGUUCUUCCAUGCCAUGGUUUGUUGCUCUUCCUGGUUUCUUUUUACAAACCGUGUGAAUCUCUUAUCAUUAUUUAAUGUCUAGUAUUAUGAAGGUUUGUUGUCUUACCAUUAUUCUAAGCAAUGCCUCUGAGUCAAUGCAGUAACUUGGUUUGCAGUUCUUCCAUGCCUUGGGUCAAUAAUGAUUGCUUUUGUUGGAUAGGUGGUGUAUUUUUUAUUCCUUCAAAAUUUUUUAUUAUAAGCGGUGACGUCCCUAACAGUUGCAUUGCACCACGAGUUGGAGUCCAUUUUCUAAGACGAACACUCCAAGUUGGUUAACCUUAAAGGUAUUUAAACAUCAAUUUCUAAGAUUACAAAUUUCAAGGCUUGUUUGUCAAAACGUUUGUUGUGGCUGUCGAAGAGCUUUUGCGAUCACCAGGGCUGAGAGCUUGUGCUGCUCGUGUCCAUGGAGUGGUGAUGUUUGAGGUUUCUCUGUUUUCCUUAUCGUAUGCGUGACAAUUUUUUUAGAUAUCUAUUAAAUUUUUGGUUUUACGUGUUAUCCUGUAAAAUUUGUUCAUUAUUUUAUGUGCUUAUGUAAGAAUAUAAUGCUUAUGAUAAAUAUAUAGGCUUGCUUCUAUCCUCCAUUAGGUGUCUAAUGCUCUUUCUUCUGACCUUAUACAUAGUUGUAAUAUUUUAUUUUUUAAGGAUUAUAUUCUAUACUUUCUUUGCUCACUCUGGAAAAGUCACUCGGCGACCCGAGUGCGUUUGUACUCUGUUUUUAAGCUUUUGGUGCCUUUUAUUCUUUCCUAGAAUCUACAAAUUUUCUAGGCAUGUAUCAACUAAGCUUAUAAUUUUGUAGAUAAAAAUUGUCGGCAUUGUAUGGUGAUAUUGUGGUGAUUAAUAAAUGUUUUAUUGUAAAAUUCAUUAACUUAGGUGUGUACAGUCUCAUAUUAAAAAUAUCCAAUACGAAAUGUGUGUAGAAAACACGUCCAAAUCGCUUUGUCGUCUGGCUGUUGGCCGUCUAUUGUUUACUGUUUCCGUUGUGGUAUAUUAUCGUUCUUUUUAAGGUAAUAAUAUCUCAGAUCUUUAUAAUUGCUUCAUCUGUAAAUUUCUUCCGCAUGGAUUGAAUUUUGGCCUCUUAGUAAAUUUCUUCUGCAUGGAUUAUGGAAUGUAUAUCAUACUAUGAAGAUAUUUAUUUUAUUUAUUUAUUUGUUAUCUAUUUUCUUCAAAAAUAUGCAGCGCUUUGAACAAAAUUGAAUCAGAUGAAACAAAAAUUUAUCCAAUUCACUUAUUUUUUAAUUUGAGUUUUAAUCUUUGAAGUUUGUAUUAUUUUAAACUGCCAACCUCAGUUAUAAUCGAUGAUAUAUGUUGGAUAGAAGUUUUUGAUUUGGCAUUUUGUUUAAGGUCAUUUUACGACAUUUGGGCAAGAAAGGAGUUUGAUUGUAAUGAUCUUAAACAUUUUUUGUUGUUGCAUUUUUUACCGCUUUUAAAACAAAAAUUAUUCUAAUUGGACAAAAUGAAAAAACAAAACUAGAGAUUGAUGAGGUUAUCCUGUUAAAUUUUCCAUAUUUGAUCGGCAGUUCUUCCAUGCCAUGGAAAUCACACUUCACCUUUAAUAAUUAGCUAUCCACCAAUUAAUUAAUCAACUGAUCUGUCUUAGUUUCCUGUCUCCGUUGGGUUUGAACCUGAUGACGUGCUGGCGGUUAAUUGUUUUAACGGUGAAUUGAGGCUUCAAUGUUCUGUAUUUAACAAGCAUCAAAUUUAACAAAAUGGAAGUAUAAGUAUGGUUGCAUACAUACUGUUAUGUAUUACAGUAGGACAAAUGAAAUCAUGUACAUGCUGUGUAGGUGAUAGUUCAUAUUCCUGGUGCACUAUGGGUGGUAAAACCACGGUGAAUUUUUUUUUUUUUUUUUUUGGGUGGUAAUUUUCCAUUGUUUUCCACACAUAUCGCUGUUUAAUUUCAUUUAUUUUUUGUUUGUUUUAAAUUUACUUGGUAUUAUAUUUCGUGUGUGUGUAUAUAUAUAUGCAUAUAUUAUAUUGGUAUCGAAUUUCAUGUUCAUAUUGCUAAAAUAUUAUAGGUGGUAAAAUUUGGGGAUUUACCUUUCGUAAUUUUCUCUCUGUUUUCAAACACAAAAGAGGAAUAUACAACCGUGUGAUUUCAUUUCUUUUUGUUCUUUAUAAAUUUACUUGGUAGGGAUUUUUAAUUUUUUAUUAUUAUUAUAUAUAUAUAUAUUUUUUUUUUUUUUUUUAUUAUCGACAUUUAGAAUUUUUUUUUAUUUUUUAUUUUUUGGGAACAUAUCAACAUUUUGAAUUUGAUGUUUGUAAAAUUGUUCGCUGCUUUUUGCAAAAUCAACAUAAUUUUUCCCAUUUUCGUAUAUUCGUAAUUGAUAGUUUCAUAUGCUUAAAUUAUUCUUAAAUUUUAAAAAAUUGGAUACAAGAUAGUUUAUAUCACAAGAAAAAUGGUAUUCAAAAUGACACUAGUUUUAAUAUUAAAGGGCUAUAUUUUAAAAAUUUGCUACGCAAAAUUUUGUCUCUGAAAAUUACGAAGUUUUCACUGGACUUCCUCCUCUCUUUUUAUCAUAUAUCUGACGCAGUAAUCUAAUGAAGUAUAGAUCUACAUUGGGUGAGAACCAUGUAAAUUGCUUGCAAAAAGUCAUUUCCGAGCCUGUGUACGUUCAUCUAUAAUUCUCAGUGGCCUGAAUUCGAUUUCAUUGUCUUGGUAUUUGAUUUCUGGGGUGUGCAAGAAAAGAUAGUUUGAUAUAUUUUUUGUCAAAUUUGGACAUUUAUUUGUUUAUUUAUUUAUUUUUUAAUAUAUAGCAUUACAUCAUCCCAAAAAAAAAAAUAAAAAAAAAUGAAUAUAUAUAUAUGUUUACAUGAUAUUUUAUUGCCUUUUUCUCGAUUUACGGUUCUUGAUCUCGAAAUUUUAUGUUAACAGUAUAGUUCAACAAACAAAAGGGAAAAUAAACAGCCUAAGGAUGGGUACCCCCCAACCUCAAAAGAGAAAGGAAAGAAAAGAGAAUAGAUUAAUACAAAACCAGUGUGAGAAACUAAAAUAAUCUUCAAUGAUUGGGCACAAACUAUGUGCUAAUGGAAAUAUUUUUUGCUGGGUAUGCACAACUUAAUUUUCUUGAGAUGCCAUUUAAGCUUUACACUUUGAUGGUUGUUCUUUGUUUUUCACCCUAGAGUUUGAAGGCUAAUUUAAUGGGUUGUAAGUUUCUCUAAUUCUUGAACAUAAGCAUGAACCAACUUCAACACAGAAGUCUGAAGAUCCCACGAACCAAGUUUCAUAAUUAGUGUAAACCUCUUCUUCUCUUGGUAUAUAGCUGAGUGUAGUUGUUGUUACGUCUAUCUACUUCACAUCUUUCUUUGAAACACCAUGAUUCCUCAUGUUCUAUUAACCAUGUCAUCCUUUCCAUUUUUGUUUAUCUGUUUUUAGUCUUAUUUUUUUGUUUGCUUCAGUUAACCUCAUCCUACACUUCUAUGCUGGGAGUUCAGAUGAAUGUUUGAACUCAAGUUUAACUACACAGUUCUACACUUAAAACUAUCUGUGAGUUAAUCGUGAAGUAGUUUCUGUAAAUGUUAGCGUAAUUAUUAGUUGUGAAUUUACGUUAAAAGCCUUCAUCCAUUUAUUUGUUAUUGCAUUACGUUAAAAUUAUAUGCCUUCCAAAUACUAAAUGUAUUUUCUUGUUAUUUUAUUUGAUAAGAGUUUUAGACAAUCUGAAACAUUUUAGCAGCUAUAAAAGUCCUGAUGCUAUUAGACAAGUGCAAGAGUAUCUUUAAUUAAUGAAGAAGAAGCUCUAUUUCCUAUUUGUUCAGGUUAACUUUUAUGUAAUUGCUCAUACUAGAUUUCCAGCCUUUAGUAAAAACUACUCCAUUUUGUGUAAGAACUUCUAAAGAAGUUGCAUAAAACUAGAGAGCCAUUUUGGUAGGAAUGAAGAUGGAUUCAUUUAACUUCUGUAAGCCAUGAUGCCAAUUUGAGCAUGAUGCAUAUAUAGGUUGUUUUCCUAAAUAUAAUUGGUUCUAAAUUAUGUAAUUUGCUGAGUUGCUUAAAUUUAGAAACAUUUUUAUUUCUAAGUGUGGAAUUAGGAUGGGGAAUUAAUCAUUUGCAUGCAUACAUGCAUGAUACAUGUGUUCAUGUGUGCUUAGUUGAGAUUUACAUAUGCUCUAUAACUGCAAGACAUAUGGCUGUGCAUUUUUCAGUUUUAAGAAUGGAAAUUGUAGGAGAUAAAACUAUAAAUCAACUCUUUUUUAUUUUCAGUUUUAAGAAUGGAAAUUGUAGGAGAUAAAACUAUAAAUCAACUCUUUUCUAUGUGGCUAAAAAGGGGCAUAUAUACUUCAUUUAUGUAUUUAUAUGAAAGUAGUCCUCUUCUCAAGACAUGUUAUAGUCCCAAAAUGUUGCAACUGUUUCAUCCUCGUAAAUUGAUUUUUUAUUUGUAUGCUUCUUUGGAUUGCAUAAUUUCAUCUGCAAUUUAGAGUAUGUAUGAUUCUCAUCUUUCUAUUAUCGUUAUUAUUUUUACUAACUUGUCUGGCUUUUUUGGUUUUAAGAUCUUCAAAGUUCUUAUACAAAAUACCUUAUGAAUUUUACUGAAAUAGAUGGAGUUUACCUAUUUUCGUGAACUGCUUAAUUGGAGUAGCCUCACCAUUGAUUUUUUUGGAGAAUAGUUUUUGUGUUAGUCCUUUCAUUCUGCAAGAAAUUUGAGUUGCUGUUAAAGUAAGGCUUGUUUCUGUCUUGCACCUAAAUGUCACCUAAACUGCAAGUCAGAAUCCCUAUCGAUUGGCUGAGUUUAAGGUAUUGUGCUCCCUAUCCCUCUCUCCUUACGACAGUCUUUUUCUCCGCAAAAGUUCCACUUCAAAUUUACCGCAAGUUUCAUUUAUCAUAUAUAUUAUAAAACGCAAUAAUAAGAAAAAUAAAUGAAACAUGGUCAAGAAGUUAUUUUGUUUACAUUACAUCCCAUCAAUUUUUCUCUUAAGUUUAUAUUUUGUUUAUAUAGUUUAACUAUUUGUAUGUUAGGUAGGUGUAAAUUUUGUCACAUAAAAAAUUUAAGGGCGAAAUCGAAGUACUUUUGUAAUUUACUUUAUGGUGUAUCAUAUUAACAUUCUCAAAUCCAGAAGAAGAGCAAGAAAUAUUAAAUGCUAUGAUUAACAUCUUGCCGUUAUGAGUUUACGACUUGUUUCUUUGAAGGUAAGUAUUUUGUGUAAUUUGUAUUGGCAGAAUUAUCAGCAUAUUGUUGAAUGUUGUGGACUUAGGAGACAUGCCAAAACAUAGCUUACCGCGGAUGCAGAGUAGCGGUCGGUUCUGAUAUUACUGGAUUGAAGAUGCCCAGAAUGGACUGUUUAAAGAAUAUGGAAGCAUUGAUCUUGUUGGUACUUAGUCAUGGCUUUCCAGGAAACUGAGGGUGAAAAUUGCGAAGGAAACUUCCCAUGCGGAUGGCCUUCCUAAAUGGUGGAAUAGAAUCAAUACUGUCAAUUAGUUUUCCCCUUGUCCUUCAGUGUAGUAAUUGGACAUUCUUUUUUGGCCAUAAUUACCUGUGAAAUUACUUAGUAAGGUUGGAAAGAAGAAAGAAAUAGAGGGGGGGAAAAUAUAUAUGUUGGAGAAUGGUGGCAUAGUAGCAUGGUUUUGGAGGAUCUGUAUAUAUUGAAAAUGCUUUGAAGGAAUGCUGAGAGAAAGCAAUAACGUCGCAAACGAGCAAGGACAACUGAGUUCUGAAACUUGUGGAUUGCUGCGUGGAGUUGCCUAUUCAGCCUUGGUUUUUAAAGAUGCAUAAAAUGGAUGUCUAUGGAGGCAUUGGUCCUAAUGAUGGCAAUGGAUUGUCAUUUCCAUGGCAGACGAGGCUGAGAAUUGUGAAGGACAUUGCCCAUGCACUUAACUAGCUCCAUUCUGCAUUUUCCAGGCCUGUCAUUUGUCAGCAUGUCAUUUGUGCAAUUUCUCUCUCUCCAGAACGAUUCCUGAAGGUGAGAUGUGUUACGGAGAGAAGUGACGUAUAUAGCUCUGGAGUAUGUCUACUAGUCCUUCUAAUGGGGAAGACCCCUACAUUUUGUAAGUUCGUGUUUCAUAGAGUUCCGUUAAAAAGAAGUGGAAUGAAAUGGUGGAUCCUAAAAUAUUGAAAAAGAAAAGGAGUGAUUAAUAAAGAGCAGCAGAAAUUGCAAGCUUUUCUGAAUCUCGCAUUGAAAAUGCAUUCAAAAGAAGUCUAAAGAUAGACCAAUGAUGAUGUGGCCAAAAAAAAAAUCAUCCGGAUUCAUGGUUCCACCACUACUCCCUACCCCAUCUUCAUAUAUAUGUUAUUUAUAUGGGUUGCGUUAUGAUUCCUGUCCUAAUGCAUAAAACUCAUUUAUAUACUGUUCUGUUUAAACAAACUAUAUAUGCAUAUAGCCUUCUA
Ziziphus jujuba (common jujube) is the source of this 22103-nucleotide RNA transcript. RefSeq lists it as uncharacterized. The record is from RefSeq and is a predicted model, not a curated record. Lineage: Eukaryota; Viridiplantae; Streptophyta; Magnoliopsida; Rosales; Rhamnaceae. The transcript is spliced from 14 exons.